AUUGAACGCUGGCGGCAGGCCUAACACAUGCAAGUCGAACGAGUGGCGGACGGGUGAGUAAUGGCUGGGAAACUGCCUGAUGGAGGGGGAUAACUACUGGAAACGGUAGCUAAUACCGCAUACCAUCGGAUGUGCCCAGAUGGGAUUAGCUAGUAGGGGGGGUAAAGGCUAACCUAGGCGACGAGCCCUAGCUGGUCUGAGAGGAUGACCAGCCACACUGGACCUGCGACACGGUCCCGACUCCUACUGGAGGCAGCAGUGGGGAAUAUUGCACAAUGGGCGCAAGCCUGAUGCAGCCAUGCCGCGUUUAUGAAGCAGGCAUUCGGGUUUUAAAGUACUUUCCGCGGGGAGGCGUUACCCGCAGAAGAAGCCCCGGCUAACUCCGUGCCAGCAGCCGCGGUAAUUC
Molecule: ribosomal RNA, 406 nt
Filed under: uncultured bacterium
Lineage: Bacteria
Description: partial 16S ribosomal RNA
Rfam family: Bacterial small subunit ribosomal RNA
Source: RNAcentral